GUAAUAUGAUUAAAUUUUCUUCCUGUUCAAAAACAAAGAUUAAAUAGAACUGUUUAAAUAAAUCCCAUCAGCACAAAAGCAAAGAUUAAAUAGAACUGUUCAACCUCCACUUACAGCAGCAGAAAUUAAAACAAAGAUUAAAACAAAGCUUAGUCUAGACCUCCACUUAACAAAGAUUAAAACAAACAAAGAUUAAAUAGAACUCUUGUCUGUUUUGAUUUUUUAAAAGUUUACUUUAAUUUUUAUAAAAAAAGAAAAAGAAUUUGAUUCCUGGUAGUACAUGUAAUUUUCUAUUUUUGAAUGUUGUUGUGAGAAUGGUUGGCUUAGAUUUAGGCACACCGAAUGGAUAUUUUCAUCAACUUCACCACCAAUUGUCUCACCAUCGGUUUGACCUCCACUUACAGCAGCAGAGGUUGGACCUGGGCGAAGACGAUGAUCUGCGUCCUUAGUGGCACCGGAACCCGUCACACGUUAGUCUCCGACAACCAGGAGGCGGCGGGGCAGGUAGCGUCGGCUGUCGUGACGUUACCUCAACGGCGGCCGGAGCUUGGUGGUCGGAGGUUAGUUCCUGUGUGUUACACCGGUGGUCGCCUGGUGAAGACUCUAAUGGCUUCCAAUUGUUGUUGAAGAUGCAGGAUUAAGAGGAGAGAGAGGGGGUUGGGGGAAAUGAGGAGAGGAAAGGGAAUGGAAAAGUCUUGGGGGGGUGGGGAAUGAGUGUAGAGUGUUUUGGGGUUAACUCAAAAAUGAAAAUGGGUAAAGGAAAUGACAAAAGAGGGCUAACAAACAACAACAAAGGGAAUGAUAUCAGCUCAUUCCCUUUCCCUUUGAUUAUUAUCCCCAACCAAACGGCCCCUGAUAGAGUUUGUUGUUAUAUCCAGUUUGGUAGAAGUAGCCGACUCGCUGAAUGACUGAAAAAUUCUUGAUUAAUAAAGAAUACCAGCAACUUAACUCAAGUGACCUGCAUUGCACCAUUUUUAUUUUUCCAUUGAGCAAUCCUAUAUAUCUGAUUGAUAACUCGCCUCCCCCUAUUCAUAGCGACAAUGUUACAAGUCAUAUCAGAUGUCUAAGGUCAAUAUCAAAUUAGAUGAGUACUAGCUGAAGUCAAUUUUAGUUCAGGCGUAUAUAACUAGGUUAUUUGGGUUUGAAAGCCUUUUCUCAAUUUUCCUGCCUUUGCUCUCCAUGAAUGUGGUGCAAGUUCAAGUUUCUCUUGGCAUCUGGUCCACAAACUGCCUCAAAAUGGGUUUUACAUAACUUUGGGUCAGAUCCAGUGUUGGGUUUUCCAAGAUACGGUUAUUAGUAUGUGCAUAAUUUUCCAACUGUAUCAUCUUGCUCAUGUUGGGUGUUGCAGGGUUCAGGUAGGACCUUUGUAUGAUCAUUGUUUAUCUUAGUUUUUGUGUUGUCAGUGAGUGUGAGGCUUGCUUGUCUGUGUUAUGCUUGCUGCUGCUUGUUCUUUGAGUUGCAGUCAAAUAGUUAAGAGGGAUUUUCUAUGUUCUUGCCUUUUGGUGCUACAGGUCCAUUUCUAUACCGCUGGUUUUCAGCUUUGGGUUGGGUGGAGCUGCUUGGUUUGUAGUUCGUGGGGAAUGGCUUAGCACUGCCGGUGGUUGGUUAUUGCACUAUUUGGGGCUGUUAUCUUUGCUGUUCUGUGCAGAUUGGUUUGACCAGUUUGGUGUAUGCUAGUCUGUUUUGUAGACUGGUAUGGUGUGUGCAGAUUGGUCAGGUGCAUGUCCCUAGGCUAAUUUGGUCAUAUAAAUUUGUAGGUUUACCUCAAGGUGUUGAUCAACAAAUAGAGGUAGAUUCUACAACAAUUUUUUUCUGAUGUUGAGUUAAUAAAUUAAUCCACUUAUAUUAGAGCCAUAUCAAGCAACGGGGUCUGAACGAGUUUAUAAUACCAUGAAAAUUGGUUCAAGUAGCCAGAGUCUAAUUCAUCAUCAGUUUGGAUCUAUAUAUUCUGGUUCAGAUAUGCUUGGGACAGUUACGUGCAUUAUAUGUUACUGUUGUAUUGUAGUUACCCAGAAGGUUGAAUAUAUGUCUAUUUUCAUUUUUCAUUUAUACUUCUGGCGCUGUUUAGACUAUGAAGCCAUGGUACAUCAUCUUGACAAAAUUUGCAUUGCAUUUAUAUGCGGGAACUUUGGUUUUGGAUUUGGGAUGAAAUUUUCGAGUAACAACCUAUAAGUCUUUGUUAGAAAAUCCUUAAAACAAAGUUGCAAGUCUACUCUUGACAUUGAAGAUAUAACACCAUACAGUAGUAUCAAAAAGUUUAUACUUGAAUACAUGCAUAUAUUUUCUUUCCUGGUGUAUGUCUGAUAAAGAUCUGCACUAUUUUGCACUCUAUUUUUAAAAAUUCUGUUAUGUUUGUUCCUUGUAUACUGAAUGUCUUAUGAUGACAUAAAAUCUAUCAUGUAUCUUUACAGGAUUUCCCAAAAUUUGUAUAGGUCGACAAGUACAACAAGCACCCCAACCUGGAACCAACCUUUCUCCAUCAGCACUACAGGAGUCAGGAUGGUAGAUAGAAGGAGAAUGGUAGAUAAAAUGAUGGCAUGAAGUAUUAGUUCUUUUUGGAGAUUCAUUAGUUUUUUUAAUUGAUGUUUUUAUAUUAUAACAAUGCAUGGUUUUUGUUAUUCGAAUGAUUGUUUUGGAUAUUUUAUUUUAAUAAUAAGUAAAACUUAAUUCGA
This is an RNA transcript of Spinacia oleracea (spinach), 2672 nucleotides long. RefSeq lists it as uncharacterized. The transcript has 3 exons. The record is from RefSeq and is a predicted model, not a curated record. NCBI's taxonomy places the organism in Eukaryota, Viridiplantae, Streptophyta, Magnoliopsida, Caryophyllales, Amaranthaceae.